This 435-nucleotide ribosomal RNA is filed under the name uncultured Ochrobactrum sp. RNAcentral describes it as "bacterial SSU rRNA". It matches the Rfam family "Bacterial small subunit ribosomal RNA", at positions 948 to 1382 of the family's 1533-position model. Lineage: Bacteria; Pseudomonadati; Pseudomonadota; Alphaproteobacteria; Hyphomicrobiales; Brucellaceae. The record is from RNAcentral.
AAUUCGAAGCAACGCGCAGAACCUUACCAGCCCUUGACAUACGGUCGCGGACACAGAGAUGUGUCUUUCAGUUCGGCUGGACCGGAUACAGGUGCUGCAUGGCUGUCGUCAGCUCGUGUCGUGAGAUGUUGGGUUAAGUCCCGCAACGAGCGCAACCCUCGCCCUUUAGUUGCCAGCAUUUAGUUGGGCACUCUAAGGGGACUGCCGGUGAUAAGCCGAGAGGAAGGUGGGGAUGACGUCAAGUCCUCAUGGCCCUUACGGGCUGGGCUACACACGUGCUACAAUGGUGGUGACAGUGGGCAGCGAGCACGCGAGUGUGAGCUAAUCUCCAAAAGCCAUCUCAGUUCGGAUUGCACUCUGCAACUCGAGUGCAUGAAGUUGGAAUCGCUAGUAAUCGUGAAUCAGAAUGUCACGGUGAAUACGUUCCCGGGCCUU